CUUUGGAAUCAAAUCCGCAGCUUCUUCUUCGUGACUGAUGGCGAAAUUCUCCGAUCCAAAUCCGGCCACCGCAAACACCAGCUUCGACCGAUAACUACCUUGUUGUUGAUGUUGCAGUGAAGACUAAUCGCGAAGGCGAUUGAUGAUGUUGAAGUUUGGAGCGCAUAGAUAGUGAAGAUGGUGAUUGUUCAGAGAUGAGUGUCCGCUCGGAGCUAUGGGCGAAGUAACACGAGAGCUCGGUGAAGUUCUUCAGUUGAAGCUGAUGCGAAGAUGAUGAUGUUGCUUGAAGAACGUUGUUGAAGAUGAGUGAAGGUGAUUGAAGCUGAUAGAGAAUGGGAGAAAAGAGGCAGAGCGAAGGCAGAAUGGUGGAAGAGGUGGAGACUCAGAGGAGGUUUGAAGUGAUGAAGAUCAGAAGGGAUUGAGGAAGUGGAGAAGAUUGUGUGAAGAGUGAAGAAUUGAAGAUGAUGGUGUUCUGCUGAGAAAGUGAAGAAGAUGAAAGUGAGUUGUGGAGAAUGCAAAAAGAGUGGUGAAGGGAGAAUGAAAGUGAAGAGAGCAAAAAUGGUGGAGGAGAUCAAUGAAGAAGGGAUUGAGGAUUAUAUAUAGAAGCUAAAGUGGCUUGACGGACUCGUUGAAGCGUUAACAUUGACCGAAGAUGCAUCCUCAAUUGAAUUUGUUCCAUUUGAAAUGAUGUUACCAGAGAGGUUUGAGUAAGAGUUGCUGUCUGGAAAACCCCUGAAUUUGUAUGAGACUCUGUUUGGGUUCUAUACAGGGCUAGAGGAUUGGAAAAUAUUGGAUGGAUGCUGAGUUUUUUUUAUUGAAUGCAGUAUGGACAUUUGGUAUGAAUCGUGUGUAAAUUGAUUUGUGAUAUUGGUUUAUUGCAGGGACCGGUUUCUUAUAAUUGCAAGGCUGCUGCUUCAGUAGGUUAUGGCAGGGUUGAUUUUGGUUUGUAGUCAUGUUGAACAAGAGUAAAUGGCUGCCCUUUUUAACUAGUUAGGUCAUGAUGAAGAUGAAGUGGAUUAGCUUGGAGGAUUGAAGAAAUGAAGAGAAAUAGGUUUAGGAUGUAGUGAAUAGAAAGUCAAAAGACCAAUGGUUACAAAUUUGUAAUAAUAAUUUCCUGUACUUUCCCUUUUUCAUGUAAUUUCACUUUAUAAUUGAAUACUCCUUGAAUAUGUUGACUUGUGAUUCAUAGAUGGACCUUCAAAUAAAUGCAUAAUUAGGUACUUGAGAAUAGGCAUUUGGUCCUCGGAUUCUGUGUAAUGUUGCUUGUAUAAUCUUCAUGAAUAUUUUGAGCUUGAAAUAUAA
Molecule: long non-coding RNA, 1302 nt
Organism: Vicia villosa (hairy vetch)
Lineage: Eukaryota; Viridiplantae; Streptophyta; Magnoliopsida; Fabales; Fabaceae
Exons: 4
Source: RefSeq, a predicted model, not a curated record